This 843-nucleotide long non-coding RNA is filed under the name Eucalyptus grandis. RNAcentral describes it as "long non-coding RNA (EGRA_LNC004987)". Lineage: Eukaryota; Viridiplantae; Streptophyta; Magnoliopsida; Myrtales; Myrtaceae. The record is from RNAcentral.
CCCCUGCAAAAUCGAUACAUGUAUUCUCUCAUGCCGUCAUGGAAGUGAGAUUAUGUAGGAAGGAAUAAGGAUGAGACGAACUAAAGACAAUUGAAUCGGAUUAUGUCACAGUGAUUCUGUCCACUUGAGGUGGUGAUUUCGUGCGGUUGUGAGAGAGAGGGUUCUUACUUUGUCAUUAGCUCCUUGCGCCAUCCUAGGGGCGGUCCUCGCCUGCAUGACAUAGUGUUCAUAGGUAAAUACAUACUUAAAGACAAUUGAAUCGGAUUAUUUCACGGUGAUUCUGUCCACUUGAGGUGGUGAUUUUGUGGGGUUGUGAGAGAGAGGGAUCUUACUUUGUCAUUAGCUCCUUGCGCCGUCCCAGGGGCGGUCCUUGCCUGCAUGACAUAGUGUUCAUAGGUAAAUACAUAAUUAAAGAGAAUUGAAUCGGAUUAUGUCACAGUGAUUCUGUCCAUCGGAUUAUGUCAUGGUGAUUCUGUCCACUUGAGGUGGUGAUUUCGUGGGGUUGUGAGAGAGAGGGAUCUUACUUUGUCAUUAGCUCCUCGCAUUGUCCCAGGGGCAAUACUCACCUGCAUGACAUAGUGUUCAUAGGUAAAUACAUACUUAAAGACAAUUGAAUCGGAUUAUGUCAUGGUGAUUCUGUCCACUUGAGGUGGUGAUUUCAUGGGGUUGUGAGAGAGAGGGAUCUUACUUUGUCAUUAGCUCCUCGCACUGUCCCAGGGGCAAUACUCACCUGCAUGACAUAGUGUUUAUAGGUAAAUACAUACUUAAAGACAAUUGAAUCGGAUUAUGUCAUGGUAAUUCUGUCCACUUGAGGUGGUGAUUUCGUGCGGUUGUGAGAGAGAG